RNAcentral lists this unclassified non-coding RNA (303 nucleotides) under fungal sp. RNAcentral's name for it is "partial internal transcribed spacer region". The stretch from base 1 to 46 matches the Rfam family "Eukaryotic small subunit ribosomal RNA", at positions 1786 to 1831 of the family's 1831-position model. Lineage: Eukaryota; Fungi. The record is from RNAcentral.
AAGUCGUAACAAGGUUUCCGUAGGUGAACCUGCGGAAGGAUCAUUAACACAAUCCAACAAAGUAAAUAUGGUUAUGGGGCUUUUUCCUUUAACUAUAUUUAUUUUAUUAACCCCCCUUUAUGGAUGAAUUAUUUUGGCAAGAACUGCGGGGCGAAUUAUUUCACCCGCAAUGUUUUUUCCAAUCUUUUUUUUUUCAACAUUUUUUUAAACCCAACCCCAUUCUAAUACUAUACUAUUGUCUAAUAUAAUGCCAAAAAUAUUCAAUUAAGAAAACAACUCUUAACAACGGAUAUCUUGGCUCUC